AUGUCUGAUGUCUGUUUUUUUUUUUAAUUAGUUUUGUAUCUGGUUUCAUAAUUUCAUAAUGCCCUGAGAUGUAAUUCAUUUAAUAAUCACUAACUUAUCAAUACUGAUUUUUUCUUUUGAGUAAUAAAUCAGAAUUCUUACUUAAAUCUCAGAUCUAUGAAAACAAAUCCUGAAGGUUUUCAUGAAAAUAAAUA
Molecule: long non-coding RNA, 194 nt
Organism: Trematomus bernacchii (emerald rockcod)
Lineage: Eukaryota; Metazoa; Chordata; Actinopteri; Perciformes; Nototheniidae
Exons: 3
Source: RefSeq, a predicted model, not a curated record